GGCGGACCCACUGCUGGACCUGGUGGGUCACGUGACCCACCAAGUUUUUCAAUUUUUUUUUUUUUUAAUAUUUAUAUGGAAAAAAGUAGAAUUCCCAAGACCCAAGUUCCCAUUUCCCAGCCAACUCCUCCGUCCCAUUAAUUACAGCAUUUUGAAAACAGAAAGAUGAGAAAAUAAACCCAUUACAAUUUACAAACCAAUUCCAAUUUCCAAACACCAAAAAACUGUUGCCUUCCCUUCCGGCCUUCCAUAAUCAGUGACCGGAGAAACAAGAAAUAUUCAGCCGGCGUUCCGCGUGUCUUUGCUGUAGCCUGUGGCCUGUGAGUUUGUGACGUGUAGUGCCUUGCGACUGUGUGAACUGUGAAGUGUACUGCCAUCCCAUUCAGACUCAGCCAUCCGCCGAGUCGUCGACCGCCUGAUCACUUCCCUCCAUUGGCACCACCGUGACACUGUCCACCUCUAAACGGUUAGUAGGUGCACCCUAAAUCCAUCUGUAAUCGUCUAUGUAACUAUGUUGUGUUUUUUAUUUUAAUAUGUGAGUUUUGAAUUUGUUGAAACUAUGUAAUAGAACUACAGUACAUUUUCUCCCAAUUUCUGGAACAAGAAGAAUUGGUGUAAAUAAGAGUUCUUAAACAGUUAAACAUACUUCUCUUCUGUGUUGUAUAACUUCCCUCCUCGUCGUCCUCGACAAUAAUCUUAAUUGCAGGAACCCUUUCCUUUCACACGAGAUUCGAAUAUAGUAUAAAAAGAAACAAAUAAACAAAAGAAUAAAUAGUUUAUGCGGCUUCUAACCAAUAUUAGAACGAGACUAAACUGUUUUGCAAAUUGGUUAGACUAAACUUCAAAACAAAUAUGUUUUAGUUUUUGUUUAUUUGCAAACCAACCCGGAGGUACUUCACUCAGUUCACUGUGGCAGUAGCCGGGAAUGUUUGAAUUUGUCUUGUCUAUAUUUGAUUUCUAAAUUUUUAGUGAAUUUCUUGAACUAAGUAUGUUAAAUUAUUAUUUGUUAACAUUGUUAACUGUUAAGUUUUUUAUUUACCACUAUUUGUUGAUUUUAGCAUUAAAUGGAAAUUUUUUUAUCUGUGAAAAUAGUAUAGUUUCAAUAAUUAUCUUUAGACUUGUAUUUUGGAGAUUUUAACUUUUUUUUAAAAAAAAAAAUCAACGAGUUUAAUUAUAUUGAACUGAAGGCUAGAAACUUCAUAACCAUAUUUUUAUUUCUGCGACGUAGAAUUCAUUAGGUUUAAGUUCAUUCUUUUGUUUUUUUUUUUUCAAUGAAUUGAUUGUUUUCAUUGAUCGUUUCUAUCAGUUAUGGAGAAGUAUUUUAAACGUAAAUCUACGUUUUCUUGUGAUGAGCAAGAUGUUAAUAAAAGGAAUGUUCGAGAUAAAAUAGAUGAAAUGAAUGUUGGGGAUGAAAUUGAUGGAACUAAUCUUGAAGAUGGCCCGAUUCAAACAAAUGUCGAGGAUGUUGGGGAUGAAAGUCAUGAAUUUGAUGUUGCACAGCUACCUUCAGAUCCUGGAUUGAGAGUUCCAAUACAAAAUUAUGAUAUUAAUGUCCGAGAUGAAAUUCGAAGAACAUAUGUGCAACGGGGUCCUUGUCAGCCUCGCAAUCAUGAAUUUCCACCCACAAAGAAUGGCUAACAAAGAUAGGCAAUUUUGUGUUUCAUGGUAUAAUGAGCAUCCUAGUUGGUUGGAAUACAGUAUAGCCAAAGAUGCUGUAUUUUGCUUUUAUUGUUAUCUUUUUAGUUCAAGUGGUGGUUCAUUUGUUAAUGGUGGGUUCUCAAAUUGGAAAAGGAAAGAGAUUAUUAGAAAACAUGUUGGGGCAUCAAAUAGCGCACACAAUCAGGCUCGAGUCCAGUAUGAAUCAUUCAAGAAUCAAGAACAAAGCAUUCAAACCUGUCUCUUUAAAUAGUCGCUUCAAACUCGAACAGAGUAUCGAAUUCGUUUGAAUGCAUCAAUUGAUUGUGUUCGAUUUCUUCUACGACAAGGGUUGGCUUUUCGUGGACAUGAUGAAUCUAAAGAUUCAAACAAUCAAGGGAACUUUCUUGAACUAUUACAUUGGUUGUGUGAUCACAAUACUGAGAUUAAGGUUGUUGCUUUGACGAAUGCACCUGAAAAUCUGAAAUUAACAUCACCACGAGUUCAAAAAGAUAUCGUGAGUGCUAUUUCUUCUGAAAUUCUAAACGUGAUUAUCAAAGAUGUUGGUAAUAGUUUCUUUUCUAUUUUAGUGGAUGAAUCUCGAGACAUUUCAGUGAAGGAGCAGAUGUCAGUUGUCAUUCGUUAUGUGAAGAAUGGACGUGUAUUGGAACAUUUUAUCGGUGUUAUACAUGUUUCGAGUACCACAGUUGUCUCACUUAAGGCUGGAAUUGAUCAAUUAUUUUCCACACAUAGUCUAAGUAUAUCUAAUUUAAGAGGUCAGGGAUAUGAUGGAGCUAGCAAUAUGCGAGGUGAGUAUAAUGGUCUCAAAACACUUAUUUUGAAAGAAAAUUCAAGUGCCUACUACAUUCACUGCUUUGCUAAUCAACUUCAACUGGCUCUUGUAGCUGUGGCACAGAAACAUCCAAAGAUAGAAACUUUUUUCACUUCAGUACACAGAUUGGUGAAUGUUGUAGGAGGAUCAGCUAAACGAAAUGAUCUUAUUCGAGAGAAACAAAGAUUGAAAAUUCUUGAAUCACUUAGUACGGGUGAAAUAUCAAGCGGGCGGGGUCUCAAUCAAGAAACUACUCUUAAGCGUUCUGGUGAUACACGUUGGGGAUCUCACUACAGUUGUUUACUUAACUUGAUAGUCAUGUUUUCAACCACUGUUGAUGUUGUUGAGAUGAUUGCUACUGACACUACAAGUUCUGGAACAAGAGGUGAUGCAUGUAUUUUA
RNAcentral lists this long non-coding RNA (2869 nucleotides) under Olea europaea subsp. europaea. The record is from RNAcentral. Lineage: Eukaryota; Viridiplantae; Streptophyta; Magnoliopsida; Lamiales; Oleaceae.